UGUUGUACUGAUGCUUACCUGGUGAUCUUGGCGCCGCGCGAGGGCCUGGUGUCGUCGAGCGUGCAGUAGACCAGCAGCAGGGAGGUGUGCAUGGCUCCGUCCGAGAACAUUGUUGUACUGAUGCUUACCUGGUGAUCUUGGCGCCGCGCGAGGGCCUGGUGUCGUCGAGCGUGCAGUAGACCAGCAGCAGGGAGGUGUGCAUGGCUCCGUCCGAGAACAUUGUUGUACUGAUGCUUACCUGGUGAUCUUGGCGCCGCGCGAGGGCCUGGUGUCGUCGAGCGUGCAGUAGACCAGCAGCAGGGAGGUGUGCAUGGCUCCGUCCGAGAACAUUGUUGUACUGAUGCUUACCUGGUGAUCUUGGCGCCGCGCGAGGGCCUGGUGUCGUCGAGCGUGCAGUAGACCAGCAGCAGGGAGGUGUGCAUGGCUCCGUCCGAGAACAUUGUUGUACUGAUGCUUACCUGGUGAUCUUGG
Leptidea sinapis is the source of this 471-nucleotide long non-coding RNA. RefSeq lists it as uncharacterized. The record is from RefSeq and is a predicted model, not a curated record. Lineage: Eukaryota; Metazoa; Arthropoda; Insecta; Lepidoptera; Pieridae. The transcript is spliced from 5 exons.